This 119-nucleotide ribosomal RNA is filed under the name Tursiops truncatus (common bottlenose dolphin). Lineage: Eukaryota; Metazoa; Chordata; Mammalia; Artiodactyla; Delphinidae. The record is from RNAcentral.
GUAUACGUCCAUACCACCCUGAAUGCGCCCUAUCUCGUCUGAUCUCAGAAGCUUAAGCAGAGUCGGGCCUGGUUAGUACUUGGAUGGGAGACCGCCUGGGAACCUGGGUGCUGUAGGGU